AGUUUGAUCCUGGCUCAGAUUGAACGCUGGCGGCAGGCCUAACACAUGCAAGUCGAGCGGUAACGAAGAGGUGCUUGCACCUUUGGCGUCGAGCGGCGGACGGGUGAGUAAUGCUUGGGAAUAUGCCUUAUGGUGGGGGACAACAGUUGGAAACGACUGCUAAUACCGCAUGAUGUCUACGGACCAAAGUGGGGGACCUUCGGGCCUCACGCCAUAAGAUUAGCCCAAGUGGGAUUAGCUAGUUGGUGAGGUAAUGGCUCACCAAGGCGACGAUCCCUAGCUGGUUUGAGAGGAUGAUCAGCCACACUGGGACUGAGACACGGCCCAGACUCCUACGGGAGGCAGCAGUGGGGAAUAUUGCACAAUGGGCGCAAGCCUGAUGCAGCCAUGCCGCGUGUGUGAAGAAGGCCUUCGGGUUGUAAAGCACUUUCAGUAAUGAGGAAAGGUUAAGUGUUAAUAGCACUUAGCUGUGAC
Molecule: ribosomal RNA, 474 nt
Filed under: Pseudoalteromonas sp. D81
Lineage: Bacteria; Pseudomonadati; Pseudomonadota; Gammaproteobacteria; Alteromonadales; Pseudoalteromonadaceae
Description: bacterial SSU rRNA
Rfam family: Bacterial small subunit ribosomal RNA
Source: RNAcentral